GUUAUCUAACCAUUCUCUCUCCCUCAUAUUUCCCUUAGAUCCUCUCUCCUAUCUCCUUCCUUCCUUCGUCUCUUAACCCUAGCUGCAACUCCCUCUCAUUAUUUCUCCAUCUCUCUCUGCUACCUCUCCCCCUCUUUCUGUCUCUCUGCUACAUCUCCCUUUCCCUAUCCCUCGACGCUAACUCAAGCCAACAUGAUUCAUACUCGGCGAAACCCACCCAUUCGCCCUCAGCGAAAUCCAUCGUCAGGCAAAGAGAAUGGACCACCUUUGAGAUCUCCUGGGAAAUAGAAAUCGAUUGCUUACUGUCGGCAUUACAAGAAUGAGUUAUUUCCCAUUCUCUCUUCCCCUCUAGAAUUCUCUACUCCACUUGCUGCUACAUCAACACUCUCUGACUCACGCAAAUACCUGAGAUUCUCUACAAUCUCUUCACCCACAGACCAACUCUGAUUCAACGACAGCCCCUCAACCACUGAGAUGACGAAGUCCUCCUUCACCUCUUCUUCAUCUGCUGCUUCUAUUUUGGGUAUAGAGAGAAGAUCAAAUGUAGUGAAUAACAGAAGAGGAAGAGGACCUUGCAUUUGUGCCUUGGUGCAGAUCUCAGGGAUGUUGUUUGUUGUGUUGAAUCUGAUGGGGCUGCUGUUUGGAAGGAUUAUCACUGUUUUUUAAAUCAUGAUUUGUAAUAACUAUAUAAUUAAGCACAAUAGGAUUGUAUUUCUUUGAGAAUCAUGUUCUGUAAUAAUUAUUAUUGCUUGCAGCUUC
Prunus avium (sweet cherry) is the source of this 759-nucleotide long non-coding RNA. RefSeq lists it as uncharacterized. NCBI's taxonomy places the organism in Eukaryota, Viridiplantae, Streptophyta, Magnoliopsida, Rosales, Rosaceae. The record is from RefSeq and is a predicted model, not a curated record.